Molecule: small nuclear RNA, 271 nt
Filed under: Jaculus jaculus (lesser Egyptian jerboa)
Lineage: Eukaryota; Metazoa; Chordata; Mammalia; Rodentia; Dipodidae
Description: 7SK RNA (ENSJJAG00000006878.1)
Rfam family: 7SK RNA
About the family: 7SK was discovered as an abundant small nuclear RNA in the mid-70s but a possible function has only recently been suggested. Two independent studies have found that 7SK RNA binds the CDK9/cyclin T complex (known as elongation factor P-TEFb).
Source: RNAcentral
GGGUGUGAGGGCAAACUGAUUGUGACAUCUGUCAACCAAUUGAUGGCCCUCGUUAAUUUAGUGGGUCUGGCUGACUAAGUGGAUAUUCCCAUCCUCACCAGUUCAUGUAUGUCCUUCCCAAAGUUGUGUCCAUGUUGGAGUGGUAUGACUUUCCCUGAUAGAAGAGGGCUGCCCUCUUCUCAAACCUCCAAGCAUGCUCUGCAGGUCCAUUUGUAAAAUAAAUAAAUAAAUAAAAUGGUGGAUAUUGAAACUUUUAGAUGCAUCCAACUAU